RNAcentral lists this microRNA precursor (98 nucleotides) under Equus caballus (horse). RNAcentral's name for it is "mir-544 microRNA precursor family". It matches the Rfam family "mir-544 microRNA precursor family". The record is from Rfam by way of RNAcentral. Lineage: Eukaryota; Metazoa; Chordata; Mammalia; Perissodactyla; Equidae.
AUCACCUGGGGAUCUUAUUAAAAUGCAGAUUCGGAUUCAAUAGAUCUGGGGCAGGGCCUGAGUUUCUGCAUUUCUAACAAGCUCCCAGGUGAUUCCCA